UCCCUCGUAGCUCAAUGGUAGAGCGGUUGGCUGUUAACCAAUAGGUUGCAGGUUCGAUUCCUGUCGAGGGAG
RNAcentral lists this transfer RNA (72 nucleotides) under Bacillus anthracis (anthrax bacterium). RNAcentral describes it as "tRNA-Asn". It matches the Rfam family "tRNA". From Rfam's summary of the family: Transfer RNA (tRNA) molecules are approximately 80 nucleotides in length. Their secondary structure includes four short double-helical elements and three loops (D, anti-codon, and T loops). RNAcentral also lists the same sequence under 4 other names. The record is from RNAcentral. Lineage: Bacteria; Bacillati; Bacillota; Bacilli; Caryophanales; Bacillaceae.